This 465-nucleotide ribosomal RNA is filed under the name Vreelandella stevensii. RNAcentral describes it as "partial 16S ribosomal RNA". It matches the Rfam family "Bacterial small subunit ribosomal RNA", at positions 338 to 795 of the family's 1533-position model. The record is from RNAcentral. Lineage: Bacteria; Pseudomonadati; Pseudomonadota; Gammaproteobacteria; Oceanospirillales; Halomonadaceae.
CCUACGGGGGGCUGCAGUGGGGAAUAUUGGACAAUGGGCGAAAGCCUGAUCCAGCCAUGCCGCGUGUGUGAAGAAGGCCUUCGGGUUGUAAAGCACUUUCAGUGGGGAAGAAAGCCUUGGGGCUAAUACCCUCGAGGAAGGACAUCACCCACAGAAGAAGCACCGGCUAACUCCGUGCCAGCAGCCGCGGUAAUACGGAGGGUGCGAGCGUUAAUCGGAAUAACUGGGCGUAAAGCGCGCGUAGGCGGUCUGAUAAGCCGGUUGUGAAAGCCCCGGGCUCAACCUGGGAACGGCAUCCGGAACUGUCAGGCUAGAGUGCAGGAGAGGAAGGUAGAAUUCCCGGUGUAGCGGUGAAAUGCGUAGAGAUCGGGAGGAAUACCAGUGGCGAAGGCGGCCUUCUGGACUGACACUGACGCUGAGGUGCGAAAGCGUGGGUAGCAAACAGGAUUAGAUACCCCAGUAGUC